CUUAGAUUUGGGUGGCGGACAGGUGAGUAACGCGUAAAGAACUUGCCUCACAGCUAGGGACAACAUUUAGAAAUGAAUGCUAAUACCUGAUAUUAUGGUUAUAGGGCAUCCUAUAAUUAUGAAAGCUAUAAGCACUGUGAGAGAGCUUUGCGUCCCAUUAGCUAGUUGGAGAGGUAACAGCUCACCAAGGCGAUGAUGGGUAGCCGGCCUGAGAGGGUGAACGGCCACAAGGGGACUGAGACACGGCCCUUACUCCUACGGGAGGCAGCAGUGGGGAAUAUUGGACAAUGGACCGAGAGUCUGAUCCAGCAAUUCUGUGUGCACGAUGAAGUUUUUCGGAAUGUAAAGUGCUUUCAGUUGGGAAGAAAGAAAUGACGGUACCAACAGAAGCAAGUGACGGCUAAAUACGUGCCA
Molecule: ribosomal RNA, 414 nt
Filed under: uncultured Fusobacteriota bacterium
Lineage: Bacteria; Fusobacteriati; Fusobacteriota
Description: bacterial SSU rRNA
Rfam family: Bacterial small subunit ribosomal RNA
Source: RNAcentral